UACGUAGGUGGCAAGCGUUGUCCGGAUUUAUUGGGCGUAAAGCGAGCGCAGGCGGUUUCUUAAGUCUGAUGUGAAAGCCUUCGGCUCAACCGAAGAAGUGCAUCGGAAACUGGGAAACUUGAGUGCAGAAGAGGACAGUGGAACUCCAUGUGUAGCGGUGAAAUGCGUAGAUAUAUGGAAGAACACCAGUGGCGAAGGCGGCUGUCUGGUCUGUAACUGACGCUGAGGCUCGAAAGCAUGGGUAGCAAACAGGAUUAGAUACCCUGGUAGUCCAUGCCGUAAACGAUGAGUGCUAGGUGUUGGAGGGUUUCCGCCCUUCAGUGCCGCAGCUAACGCAUUAAGCACUCCGCCUGGGGAGUACGACCGCAAGGUUGAA
Molecule: ribosomal RNA, 376 nt
Filed under: uncultured bacterium
Lineage: Bacteria
Description: bacterial SSU rRNA
Rfam family: Bacterial small subunit ribosomal RNA
Source: RNAcentral